UUAUUCUGUAGCUCGGCCAGGGUCUGGUUCUAAAGAGCAUCAGAGUUAGAGAAGACAUCACUGUUAAGGGACCUGGUGCCUUGUUUGUUCAUCACUUUAAGGCAUCAGGUAUCAUCGGCAGUGAGAAAUGCAUAGCUUAGUAGAGGGAGGGCCUGCUUAGCAUACAGGAAGCCCUGGACUUCGUGAGAUUAGCUUUAUUUUUUUUUUUACUAGGACACCUUUUUCUUCGGUUUCCCUCUCACGUUCACACUGGAGUGGGCUGGAACAGAGCAGGAUAAAGGGCAGGCUCUCUAGGCUGUCCUUACCUGUUUGAUUAAGAUGUCAUCGCAGUUAGUUAAUGCUUGACGAAGUUUUCCUGCUCCUGUGCUGUGGCAACAGGCUCUCUCUGCUGACUGCAGAGACUGUCCUAGCUCCUGGAGCUCUGUCCGUAGCAGCCUUAUAUUCUGAAAGAGUAGGAAUCAGAUUGUGGCCAAAAUCAGCCACAGCAGCCAUUUGAAGGCAGACUUACAGAGGCUGGGGGCUGGUGAGGGCACCCAAGCUUGACAAUCUGAGUUAAAUCUAGGAACCCACAUGGUGGAAAGAGAGAAUCAUUCUUCUGUCUUCCACACCACUACAUACAAAUAAAUAAAUGUGAAGCAAAAUUGGGCUGGUUUUCAUUCCUCAGGAUUCUUGCACCAAAAAUAAAAAAACAAAAAACAAAAAACAAAAAAACAAAACAAAAAAGAAAAACACCUUCUUCUCACUUAAAUCCCUGAUAAAGGUUUUGAAACAGAAUAAGGUUAAAUACCUUCUGGCCCUCCUCUAACUUCUUAUCCACAUCGAUGGUGAAAGGUUUGGCUGUGGGUGGUGGUUUUAACAUCUGCUGGUACUUCUGCAGCUCUGAGGGGAGACACAGGAUGUACAGAUAACAUGUAAUGCAUGGGUUGUUCAGCUUGGGGCUUUAACAGUAGCAGCGUAAGAUGUGAGUUGGAGUUAGGACUGAGUGAAUGCCAGCUUCUCCCUCACCACCCACCCCCACUGUCAGGCCCCGCCCCCCUCACCUGCGGUGGUAGAGCCUAACUCUGUUUUGCAUUGCUCUAGUUCAGCUUUAACUUCCUGGAGCUGCUGAGAGGAGGCAGAGGCUGCCAACCUUUGUGACCGCCGGAGGGACAGUUCACACCCCCCUGACUGUUGUGCCACUGGCUGCUGUUUGGCUUCCUGCAAGAGAGUUUCUAGCUCUUCAAUUUUUUCAUCCCGCUCCUAAGAGGGAAGCAGAGAGCACAGUUCUGUCUAGGGUCAGACAAAUACCAAAGGACCAGACUAAAAGAACAUAAGCACCUACGCGCGACAUUAGCCCAUUAGCACACUUUCACGGUGGACUCAUCCCUAAACUCAAACUCAGUAGCUGCAAGGCACUAAGGGAAACUAAUAAAAACGAAUUCUAUAUU
Molecule: long non-coding RNA, 1427 nt
Filed under: Rattus norvegicus (Norway rat)
Lineage: Eukaryota; Metazoa; Chordata; Mammalia; Rodentia; Muridae
Description: long non-coding RNA NONRATT013735
Source: RNAcentral